GUGCUCGCUUGGGCAGCACAGCCACUAAACUCGGAACGAUACAGAGACGCUCAGCAUGGCCGCUGCACAAGGAUGACAUGCAGCUUCCUGAGAGACGCUCCAAGGCAUA
This is a small nuclear RNA of Suricata suricatta (meerkat), 109 nucleotides long. Lineage: Eukaryota; Metazoa; Chordata; Mammalia; Carnivora; Herpestidae. The record is from Ensembl.